AUUGAACGCUGGCGGCAGGCCUAACACAUGCAAGUCGAGCGGAUGAAGGGAGCUUGCUCCUGGAUUCAGCGGCGGACGGGUGAGUAAUGCCUAGGAAUCUGCCUGGUAGUGGGGGAUAACGUCCGGAAACGGGCGCUAAUACCGCAUACGUCCUGAGGGAGAAAGUGGGGGAUCUUCGGACCUCACGCUAUCAGAUGAGCCUAGGUCGGAUUAGCUAGUUGGUGGGGUAAAGGCCUACCAAGGCGACGAUCCGUAACUGGUCUGAGAGGAUGAUCAGUCACACUGGAACUGAGACACGGUCCAGACUCCUACGGGAGGCAGCAGCGGGGAAUAUUGGACAAUGGGCGAAAGCCUGAUCCAGCCAUGCCGCGUGUGCGAAGAAGGUCUUCGGAUUGUAAAGCACUUUAAGUUGGGAGGAAGGGCAGUAAGUUAAUACCUUGCUGUUUUGACGUUACCAACAGAAUAAGCACCGGCUAACUUCGUG
Molecule: ribosomal RNA, 484 nt
Filed under: uncultured bacterium
Lineage: Bacteria
Description: partial 16S ribosomal RNA
Rfam family: Bacterial small subunit ribosomal RNA
Source: RNAcentral